AGCGAACAUUGGCGGUAGGCUUAACACAUGCAAGUCGAGCGAGGCUUCGAGCCGAGCGGCGAACGGGUAAGUAAUACUUGGGAAUCUACCCUGAAGUAGGGGAUAACGUCCAGAAAUGGACGCUAAUACCGCAUAAUCCACAUUGGGAAAGCGCGCUGCGCUUUAGGAUGAGCCCAAGCCUGAUUAGCUAGUUGGUGGGGUAAAGGCCCACCAAGGCGACGAUCAGUAGCUGGUCUGAGAGGAUGAUCAGCCACACUGGAACUGAGACACGGUCCAGACUCCUACGGGAGGCAGCAGUGGGGAAUCUUGCGCAAUGGGGGCAACCCUGACGCAGCCAUACCGCGUGUGCGAUGAAGGUCUUCGGAUUGUAAAGCACUUUCGGCGGGGACGACAAUGACGGUACCCGCAUAAGAAGUCACGGCUAACUUCGUGCCAGCAGCCGCCGUAA
Molecule: ribosomal RNA, 448 nt
Filed under: uncultured bacterium
Lineage: Bacteria
Description: partial 16S ribosomal RNA
Rfam family: Bacterial small subunit ribosomal RNA
Source: RNAcentral